GGUGGUGCUAUUGUGGAGAUCGUACACCCGAAAAUAGAGAGCUAGAUGGGAGUUGUUCUUAUAAAUGCGGAGGAAACCAAGAUCAGUAUUGUGGUGGACAGCAUACGCAAAGCUUCUAUGUAAACCGCAACUACAGUAAUGGAUAUCUUGGGUGCUUCAAUGACGAGGCUGAUUCAAUGUUCAAUGUGAAAAACACUUCAUCGACAUCCAUGACUGUGGAAAAAUGUAAAGAAUUUUGUCAGAAGGAAGAUGUCCCAUUCUAUGGACUACUAGCAGGCAUUGAAUGUGUCUGUAGAAAUUCACCGCUGCCGAGCGUCAAUAAGUCAGACGAAGACUGUCGAAUCAAAUGUAGUGGGUACGAGAAGGAUUUUUGUGGAGGAGACGGGAUGAUUGGUUUUCAUAAGAAUUCUUAUUAUGAAAAGGGUACUAAUUUAAAAACCUCCAUUGGUUCAAGGCUACACAUUCUACAUAAAUACA
Ostrea edulis (European flat oyster) is the source of this 477-nucleotide long non-coding RNA. RefSeq lists it as uncharacterized. The transcript is spliced from 3 exons. Lineage: Eukaryota; Metazoa; Mollusca; Bivalvia; Ostreida; Ostreidae. The record is from RefSeq and is a predicted model, not a curated record.